RNA transcript from Empidonax traillii (willow flycatcher), 2301 nucleotides. It is a transcript of the gene named 5-hydroxytryptamine receptor 4, with no coding region annotated. The record is from RefSeq and is a predicted model, not a curated record. The transcript has 8 exons. NCBI's taxonomy places the organism in Eukaryota, Metazoa, Chordata, Aves, Passeriformes, Tyrannidae.
ACCGCUACAGCCCCGCAGCCGGGCAGGAUUCACCUCGGCUCCGCAGCCGGGCAAGAACCAUCACAGCCCCGCAGCCGGGCAGGACCCGGCGCAGCCCCACGGGCGGACAGCGCGGAGCCCACGCCCUGCCCCGCCGCCGCGAUGAGGAGCCGCGCCGGGGGAACCGCGUCGGGCGCCGCGGGGCUCUGGCCCGGCCACGGAUGAGGUUUCUUCUGUGGACAUUGAACUCCCAGCUACCUAUGCCUACUGCCUGUGAUGGAAGAACUGGAUGUUAAUGUGAGUUCGAGUGAGGGCUUCGGCAUAGCGGGGAAGAUCGUGCUGCUCACCUUCAUCUCCGCCGUCAUUCUGAUGGCCAUCCUGGGGAACCUGCUGGUGAUGGUGGCCGUGUGCCGGGACAGGCAGCUCAGGAAAAUUAAGACCAAUUAUUUCAUUGUUUCCCUGGCCUUUGCGGACCUGCUGGUAUCGGUGCUGGUGAUGCCCUUUGGAGCCAUGGAGUUGGUUCAGGACAACUGGAUCUACGGAGAGAUGUUCUGCCUGGUCCGGACGUCCCUCGAUGUGCUGCUCACCACGGCGUCAAUCCUGCACCUGUGCUGUAUCUCGCUGGACAGAUACUAUGCUAUCUGCUGCCAGCCUCUGGUGUACAGGAACAAGAUGACCCCUCUGCGCAUCGCUGUAAUGCUCGGAGGGUGCUGGGUAAUCCCAACGUUUAUUUCUUUCCUCCCUAUCAUGCAAGGCUGGAAUAGCAUUGGCAUCAUUGAUCUGAUCCAGCAAAGGCAGUUCAACAAGGCUUCCAACUCCACCUACUGCAUAUUCAUGGUCAACAAGCCAUACGCCAUUACCUGCUCCGUGGUGGCCUUCUAUAUCCCCUUCUUCCUGAUGGUGCUGGCCUACUACCGCAUCUACAUCACGGCGCGGGAGCACGCCCGGCAGAUCCAGGUGCUGCAGCGCGCGGGGGCCCCCACGGACGGCCGGCAGCACCCCCCAGACCAGCACAGCACCCACCGCAUGAAGACUGAGACCAAAGCUGCCAAGACCCUGUGCAUCAUCAUGGGGUGCUUCUGCCUCUGCUGGGCCCCCUUCUUUGUCACAAACAUAGUGGACCCUUUCAUAAACUACACGGUGCCGGGGAAGCUGUGGACGGCUUUCCUGUGGCUGGGCUAUAUCAAUUCAGGGCUGAACCCUUUCCUCUACGCCUUCCUGAACAAGUCUUUCAGACGUGCCUUCCUCAUCAUCCUGUGCUGUGGGGAUGAGCGAUACCGAAGGCCUUCCAUCCUGGGGCAGACGGUUCCCUGCUCCACCACCACGAUCAAUGGAUCGACGCACGUGCUGAGGGUAAACAGCUGGAAGUGUUGAGCUAACAACUGCCAGAGGCUUCAGACAGACACUUUGUGCCACAUGAGAUCCUGGGACACCUUAAUGACUUCUCUUUAGCUUAAUGCAUCUCUGUAACAAACGGCAUCACCUGCUAUUGCUGAUCUUGCACCACUUUCUGACUGCUGCAGAAGAACAAGGAAGGUACACUGUUUUACGCAAUGGGCAUCAUCAGGAACAUGAGAAGCUUCCCAUCCACAACGACCCUGAAUCCCAAGAGUCCUGUUUCUAGUCGUGGUCCUAGUAGAGGAAUGGUCCAGCUGAAAGAACCUUUUAGGAUAUCCAAAGGAUUCAUGGACAGCAGGACUUGUUGAAAAAUCAUUCAUCUGCAUUGUCAUGGUGCCUCCUACACUGACUUCACAUGGAUGUCCAGCUGCGGGAUGGAUGGAAGGUACAGGACUCCUGCACCUGCAGGGAUGGCUGGACAGCUUUAUUCCAGGAGGGAGUGAUUCCUGUCAACGUAAGGACACAAAGCAGAUACAAACCACUCAGUGCAGGGACUUCUGCUGCUCCUUUCCAGCUGCCAUCUGUGCAUAAGCCAUCUCUCUGUCCUGCAGUCCUAGAGAUCACAAGGUCUGGCUGAAGCCCUAAGAGGAUGUGAGACUAAAGCCCUGCUUUAUCUGUGCAAGAUCCUACCCGCGGUGAUGGAUGGUCGGGGGACAAACAGCACUAUGUUUUCUUCAGCGAAAUAAGGGGGAACAUUUGCCCUUUGAUUAUAGCUACUGCUGAAGGGUCAGCCUGAGCUGCUGGUUCACCCAACCCUGCAGAGCUUUGUAAAUGCUUUUACUGUGUUUCCUGGCCACAUUCAUUGGUAGAAGACUCUGGUGUGUGUAGAGGGCCUGACAAGCUGGAGUGGGACCUACAGAGACAUCUCACCUCCUACAGGGCCCUGCCAGCACUGCUCCAGUCCAGCCCACGGGCCCAAAGCCA